GUCUACGGCCAUGCCACCCUGAACAAGCCCAAUCCCGUCUGAUCUUGGAAGCUAAGCAGGGUCGGGCCUGAUUAGUACUUGAAUGAGAGACCACCUAGGAAGACCAGGUGCUGUAGGUG
This 119-nucleotide ribosomal RNA is filed under the name Pteropus alecto (black flying fox). The record is from RNAcentral. Lineage: Eukaryota; Metazoa; Chordata; Mammalia; Chiroptera; Pteropodidae.